GACGAACGCUGGCGGCGUGCCUAAUACAUGCAAGUUGAGCGCUGAAGGUUGGUACUUGUACCCACUGGAUGAGCAGCGCAAGGGUGAGUAAAGCGUGGGGAAUCUGUCUUUGAGCGGGGGACAACAUUUGGAAACGCAUGCUAAUACCGCAUAUAAACUUUAAUCACAAGUUUUAAGUUUGAAAGAUGCAAUUGCAUCACUCUAAGCUGAUCCCGCGUUGUAUUAGCUAGUUGGUGGGGUAAAGGCUCACCAAGGCGAUGAUACAUAGCCGACCUGAGAGGGUGAUCGGCCACAUUGGGACUGAGACACGGCCCAAACUCCUACGGGAGGCAGCAGUAGGGAAUCUUCGGCAAUGGACGAAAGUCUGACCGAGCAACGCCGCGUGAGUGAAGAAGGUUUUCGGAUCGUAAAACUCUGUUGGUAGAGAAGAACGGUGGUGAGGGUGGAAAGCUCAUCAAGUGACGGUAACUACCCAGAAAGGGACGGCUAACUACGUG
Molecule: ribosomal RNA, 497 nt
Filed under: uncultured bacterium
Lineage: Bacteria
Description: partial 16S ribosomal RNA
Rfam family: Bacterial small subunit ribosomal RNA
Source: RNAcentral